Molecule: long non-coding RNA, 235 nt
Filed under: Parus major (Great Tit)
Lineage: Eukaryota; Metazoa; Chordata; Aves; Passeriformes; Paridae
Description: lncRNA (ENSPMJG00000015614.1)
Source: RNAcentral
UGCCUUUGGAGUGGAGGAGCGUGGCUCUAGACUGGCAAAGAGGCAGGCUGGAUGAAGUGAUGGUGUCCAGGUAUGGGAAGUGAAUUUGUGACCUGCAGCAGAAGAAUUUGCCCAUUGAUACCAACAGAGAGACAACCACUGCUAACCAUGCUUUCAAAGCACCACAGUUACCAGUGCUUCCAUACAAACUAACGAUGAUAAUGGUGACAGCACUACCCAGCACACGGGAUUCCUG